AUGUACGCGGACGGAGACGAGCUCCGGCGGCUGCCGGGGUGCCGGCACGCGUUCCACCGGCGGUGCGUCGAUGAGUGGCUGCGCCGGCGGCCCAGCUGCCCGCUCUGCCGCACGUCGCCGCAGUCCACCACCGCGAAGAAUUCCUGA
Molecule: ribosomal RNA, 147 nt
Filed under: Triticum aestivum (bread wheat)
Lineage: Eukaryota; Viridiplantae; Streptophyta; Magnoliopsida; Poales; Poaceae
Description: partial small subunit ribosomal RNA
Source: RNAcentral